GACGAACGCUGGCGGCGUGCUUAACACAUGCAAGUCGAACGGAAAGGCCCUGCUUGCAGGGUACUCGAGUGGCGAACGGGUGAGUAACACGUGGGUGAUCUGCCCUGCACUUCGGGAUAAGCUUGGGAAACUGGGUCUAAUACCGGAUAGGACCGCACUUCAGUGUGUGUGGUGGAAAGUUUUUUCGGUGUAGGAUGAGCUCGCGGCCUAUCAGCUUGUUGGUGGGGUAAUGGCCUACCAAGGCGGCGACGGGUAGCCGGCCUGAGAGGGUGUACGGCCACAUUGGGACUGAGAUACGGCCCAGACUCCUACGGGAGGCAGCAGUGGGGAAUAUUGCACAAUGGGCGCAAGCCUGAUGCAGCGACGCCGCGUGGGGGAUGAAGGCCUUCGGGUUGUAAACUCCUUUCGCUAGGGACGAAGCUUUUUGUGACGGUACCUAGAUAAGAAGCACCGGCUAACUACGUG
Molecule: ribosomal RNA, 465 nt
Filed under: uncultured bacterium
Lineage: Bacteria
Description: partial 16S ribosomal RNA
Rfam family: Bacterial small subunit ribosomal RNA
Source: RNAcentral